UACGAAGGGGGCGAGCGUUGUUCGGAUUUACUGGGCGUAAAGGGCGCGCAGGCGGCUUUGUUUGUCAGGCGUGAAAGCCCCGGGCUUAACCUGGGAACUGCGUUUGAUACGGAUGGGCUAGAGUUCGGGAGAGGAGAGUGGAAUUCCCAGUGUAGAGGUGAAAUUCGUAGAUAUUGGGAAGAACACCGGUGGCGAAGGCGGCUCUCUGGACCGAGACUGACGCUGAGGCGCGAAAGCGUGGGGAGCAAACAGG
Molecule: ribosomal RNA, 253 nt
Filed under: uncultured bacterium
Lineage: Bacteria
Description: partial 16S ribosomal RNA
Rfam family: Bacterial small subunit ribosomal RNA
Source: RNAcentral